RNAcentral lists this transfer RNA (73 nucleotides) under Chelodina novaeguineae. RNAcentral describes it as "tRNA-Lys". The record is from RNAcentral. Lineage: Eukaryota; Metazoa; Chordata; Testudines; Chelidae. RNAcentral also lists the same sequence under 1 other name.
UCACUACAGAAGCUAAUAGAGGAUAGCACUAGCCUUUUAAGCUAGAGAAAGAGACCAACCAACCUCCUUAGUG